UACGUAGGGGCCUAGCGUUGUCCGGAUUUAUUGGGCGUAAAGAGCUCGUAGGCGGUUCGGUAAGUCAGGUGUGAAAUCUCCACGCUCAACGUGGAGGCGCCACCUGAAACUGCCGUGACUCGAGUCCGGUAGGGGAGUGUGGAAUUCCCGGUGUAGCGGUGAAAUGCGCAGAUAUCAGGAAGAACACCCGUGGCGAAGGCGGCUCUCUGGGACGGUACUGACGCUGAGACGCGAAAGCGUGGGGAGCGAACAGG
Molecule: ribosomal RNA, 254 nt
Filed under: uncultured bacterium
Lineage: Bacteria
Description: partial 16S ribosomal RNA
Rfam family: Bacterial small subunit ribosomal RNA
Source: RNAcentral